UACGAAGGGGGCUAGCGUUGUUCGGAAUUACUGGGCGUAAAGCGCACGUAGGCGGUUCGUUAAGUCAGGGGUGAAAUCCCAGAGCUCAACUCUGGAACUGCCUUUGAUACUGGCGACCUAGAGUUCGGAAGAGGUUAGUGGAAUUCCCAGUGUAGAGGUGAAAUUCGUAGAUAUUGGGAAGAACACCAGUGGCGAAGGCGGCUAACUGGUCCGAUACUGACGCUGAGGUGCGAAAGCGUGGGGAGCAAACAGG
Molecule: ribosomal RNA, 253 nt
Filed under: uncultured bacterium
Lineage: Bacteria
Description: partial 16S ribosomal RNA
Rfam family: Bacterial small subunit ribosomal RNA
Source: RNAcentral